RNAcentral lists this ribosomal RNA (506 nucleotides) under uncultured bacterium. RNAcentral describes it as "bacterial SSU rRNA". It matches the Rfam family "Bacterial small subunit ribosomal RNA", at positions 8 to 509 of the family's 1533-position model. The record is from RNAcentral.
AGAGUUUGAGUCCUGGCGUCAGGAUGAACGCUAGCGGCAGGCCUAAUACAUGCAAGUCGGACGGUAAAUGGCCCCUUCGGGGGCGAUGAGAGUGGCGGACGGGUGCGCAACGCGUAUGCAACCACCCCCGACGGGCGCGACAGCCGGUGGAAACGCCGGGUAAUGCGCCAUGCGCCCGAGUGGGGCAUCCCCAUUUGGGCAAAGCGGAGACGCGGUCGGGACGGGCAUGCGUCCCAUUAGCUAGUAGGCGGGGCGACGGCCCACCUAGGCUACGAUGGUAGGGGAUCUGAGAGGACGGUCCCCCACACUGGUACUGAGACACGGACCAGACUCCUGCGGGAGGCAGCAGUAAGGGAUAUUGGGCAAUGGGGGAACCCUGACCCAGCCAUGCCGCGUGAGGGAAGUAGGCCCUACGGGUCGUGAACCUCUUUUGUCCAGGGACAAGGACGGCGUCGAGAACGCCGUUUGAGGGUACUGGAAGAAUAAGCGUCGGCUAACUCCGUGCC